GAUAAAUGACAUUCCUUGGCCACUAAACUGGGUUAUGACUAAGCUCGUCUCUACCUUGCAUCAUUCAAGAGUAAACUAACUUUGUAGAGAUUGCUCUAAGAACAUAGUGGCUUCAUGUAGAUGCUUUUCCUUAACAAAAUGAUCACAAUAAGACAUUUGUUCAAAAACAUAAAGUUGAGGCACAAGGCUACUAGUGAUAAAAGAAAGCGUGAGCAAGGCUUAAAAGUGUUAAAACAUGC
RNAcentral lists this unclassified non-coding RNA (239 nucleotides) under Hevea brasiliensis (rubber tree). Lineage: Eukaryota; Viridiplantae; Streptophyta; Magnoliopsida; Malpighiales; Euphorbiaceae. The record is from RNAcentral.